AGAGUUUGAUCCUGGCUCAGGACGAACGCUGGCGGCGUGCUUAACACAUGCAAGUCGAACGGGAUGAAGAGAGAAGCUUGCUUCAUUCUUCAUUUAGUGGCAAACGGGUGAGUAACACGUAAACAACCUGCCUUCAGGAUGGGGACAACAGACGGAAACGACUGCUAAUACCGAAUACGCUCCAAGAGCCGCAUGGUUUUUGGAGGAAAGGGUGGCCUCUACUAGUAAGCUAUCGCCUGAAGAGGGGUUUGCGACUGAUUAGGCAGUUGGUGAGGUAACGGCCCACCAAACCGACGAUCAGUAGCCGGUCUGAGAGGAUGAACGGCCACACUGGAACUGAGACACGGUCCAAACUCCUACGGGAGGCAGCAGUAGGGAAUCUUCCACAAUGGACGCAAGUCUGAUGGAGCAACGCCGCGUGAGUGAAGAAGGCUUUCGGGUUGUAAAGCUCUGUUAAUCGGGACGAAAGGCCUUCUUGCGAAUAGUGAGAAGGAUUGACGGUACCGGAAUAGAAAGCCACGGCUAACUACGUGCCAGCAGCCGCGGUAAUACGUAGGUGGCAAGCGUUAUCCGGAUUUAUUGGGCGUAAAGCGAGCGCAGGCGGAUCAGUCAGUCUGUCUUAAAAGUUCGGGGCUUAACCCCGUGAUGGGAUGGAAACUGCCAAUCUAGAGUAUCGGAGAGGAAAGUGGAAUUCCUAGUGUAGCGGUGAAAUGCGUAGAUAUUAGGAAGAACACCAGUGGCGAAGGCGGCUGUCUGGUCUGUAACUGACGCUGAGGCGCGAAAGCCAGGGGAGCGAACGGGAUUAGAUACCCCGGUAGUCCUGGCCGUAAACGAUGGGUACUAGGUGUAGGAGGUAUCGACCCCUUCUGUGCCGGAGUUAACGCAAUAAGUACCCCGCCUGGGGAGUACGACCGCAAGGUUGAAACUCAAAGGAAUUGACGGGGGCCCGCACAAGCGGUGGAGUAUGUGGUUUAAUUCGACGCAACGCGAAGAACCUUACCAGGUCUUGACAUCCUUUGACCACUCUAGAGAUAGAGCUUCCCCUUCGGGGGCAAAGUGACAGGUGGUGCAUGGUUGUCGUCAGCUCGUGCCGGGAGAUGUUGGGUUAAGUCCCGCAACGAGCGCAACCCCUAUCUUCUGUUGCCAGCACCUUGGGUGGGAACUCAGAAGAGACCGCCGCGGACAACGCGGAGGAAGGCGGGGACGACGUCAAGUCAUCAUGCCCCUUAUGGCCUGGGCUACACACGUACUACAAUGGGUGUCAACAAAGAGAAGCGAAAGGGCGACCUGGAGCGAACCUCAAAAACACACCCCCAGUUCAGAUCGCAGGCUGCAACCCGCCUGCGUGAAGCAGGAAUCGCUAGUAAUCGCGGGUCAGCAUACCGCGGUGAAUACGUUCCCGGGCCU
RNAcentral lists this ribosomal RNA (1407 nucleotides) under human gut metagenome. Its description in RNAcentral is "bacterial SSU rRNA". It matches the Rfam family "Bacterial small subunit ribosomal RNA", at positions 8 to 1381 of the family's 1533-position model. The record is from RNAcentral.